GGGGGGGGGGGCUUAACCAUGCAAGUCGAACGAUGACCCCGGUGCUUGCACCGGGUGAUUAGUGGCGAACGGGUGAGUAACACGUGAGUAACCUGCCCCCGACUCUGGGAUAAGCCCGGGAAACUGGGUCUAAUACCGGAUAUUCACUUCCUUCCGCAUGGGAGGUGGUGGAAAGAUUUUAUCGGUGGGGGAUGGACUCGCGGCCUAUCAGCUUGUUGGUGGGGUAAUGGCCCACCAAGGCGACGACGGGUAGCCGGCCUGAGAGGGUGACCGGCCACACUGGGACUGAGACACGGCCCAGACUCCUACGGGAGGCAGCAGUGGGGAAUAUUGCACAAUGGGCGAAAGCCUGAUGCAGCGACGCCGCGUGAGGGAUGACGGCCUUCGGGUUGUAAACCUCUUUCAGUAGGGAAGAAGCGAAAGUGACGGUACCUGCAGAAGAAGCGCCGGCUAACUACGUGCCAGCAGCCGCGGUAAUACGUAGGGCGCAAGCGUUAUCCGGAAUUAUUGGGCGUAAAGAGCUCGUAGGCGGUUUGUCGCGUCUGCCGUGAAAGUCCGGGGCUCAACCCCGGAUCUGCGGUGGGUACGGGCAGACUAGAGUGAUGUAGGGGAGACUGGAAUUCCUGGUGUAGCGGUGAAAUGCGCAGAUAUCAGGAGGAACACCGAUGGCGAAGGCAGGUCUCUGGGCAUUAACUGACGCUGAGGAGCGAAAGCAUGGGGAGCGAACAGGAUUAGAUACCCUGGUAGUCCAUGCCGUAAACGUUGGGCACUAGAUGUGGGGGACAUUCCACGUUUUCCGC
Molecule: ribosomal RNA, 800 nt
Filed under: Arthrobacter sp. JSM 101083
Lineage: Bacteria; Bacillati; Actinomycetota; Actinomycetes; Micrococcales; Micrococcaceae
Description: bacterial SSU rRNA
Rfam family: Bacterial small subunit ribosomal RNA
Source: RNAcentral